Molecule: long non-coding RNA, 295 nt
Organism: Sinocyclocheilus grahami
Lineage: Eukaryota; Metazoa; Chordata; Actinopteri; Cypriniformes; Cyprinidae
Exons: 2
Source: RefSeq, a predicted model, not a curated record
AUCAUCUUCAUGUCAGCUUCACAUACCGUUAGGACCUCCUACCAAUCCUGGUACACCUCCUGCUCCCAAGACACCUCCAGAUCCGGGUAAACCUGUCAAGCACUACCAGGAAGUCCUGGUCCAGCAAAUCCAGACCAGGGACCUCCUACAGUCCCUGGACCAUAACCACCAACUGGUCCUGCCCCCAUGCCAAAUCCUCCUGCUGGACCGGUUCCUACCUGACCCUGCAGACCAAGUCCUGCAGCACCUCCACUACCACCAGGACCUACAUAUGGAUUAAAAUAAUUUAACAAGU